This 72-nucleotide transfer RNA is filed under the name Sphingobacterium sp. DR205. RNAcentral's name for it is "tRNA-Thr". It matches the Rfam family "tRNA". Rfam says of the family: Transfer RNA (tRNA) molecules are approximately 80 nucleotides in length. Their secondary structure includes four short double-helical elements and three loops (D, anti-codon, and T loops). Further hydrogen bonds mediate the characteristic L-shaped molecular structure. tRNAs have two regions of fundamental functional importance: the anti-codon, which is responsible for specific mRNA codon recognition, and the 3' end, to which the tRNAs corresponding amino acid is attached (by aminoacyl-tRNA synthetases). tRNAs cope with the degeneracy of the genetic code in two manners: having more than one tRNA (with a specific anti-codon) for a particular amino acid; and 'wobble' base-pairing, i.e. permitting non-standard base-pairing at the 3rd anti-codon position. Lineage: Bacteria; Pseudomonadati; Bacteroidota; Sphingobacteriia; Sphingobacteriales; Sphingobacteriaceae. The record is from RNAcentral.
GCUUCCUUAGCUCAGCUGGUGGAGCAACGGACUUGUAAUCCGUGGGGCAUUGGUUCAUCUCGAUAGGAGGCU